UGAGGUGUGUGACUGUGUACAGGUGUGCACUGUUCAGGUGCGUGACUGUUGAGGUGAGUGACUUGUUCAGGUAUGUGAUUGCUGAGGUGUGUGACUGUACAGGUGUGCGCUGUUGUUCAGGUGCGUGACUGUUGAGGUGAGUGACUGUUGUUCAGGUAUGUGAUUGUUGUUGAGGUGUGUGACGGUACAGGUGUGCGCUGUUGUUCAGGUGCGUGACUUGCUCAGGUGUGCGAUGUUGUUCAGGUAUGUGAUUGUUCAGGUGUGUGACUGUUGUUCGGGUGCGUGACUUGCUCAGGUGUGUGACUGUGUUCACGUGUGACUGUUCAGGUGUGUGACUGUGUUCACGUGUGACUGUUCAGGUGUGUGACUGUGUUCACGUGUGACUGUU
Colossoma macropomum (tambaqui) is the source of this 388-nucleotide long non-coding RNA. RefSeq lists it as uncharacterized. NCBI's taxonomy places the organism in Eukaryota, Metazoa, Chordata, Actinopteri, Characiformes, Serrasalmidae. The transcript is spliced from 3 exons. The record is from RefSeq and is a predicted model, not a curated record.